This 653-nucleotide unclassified non-coding RNA is filed under the name Hevea brasiliensis (rubber tree). Lineage: Eukaryota; Viridiplantae; Streptophyta; Magnoliopsida; Malpighiales; Euphorbiaceae. The record is from RNAcentral.
AAAGAUUCUAAAUUAUUGAUAGCAAAGACAAAAUGAUCAAAAUCCGGAAUAAUAAGAUCCAAAAUCUGACAUAAUAAAAUUAUAGCAGGUAACAUGUCUCUAGAAACAAAGACAACAAAAGACUCAAACUCCAACAAAGAAACAGUCUCAGGGUGAUACCAACACUAAAUGCAAAGCAACCCAAGAAUCAGGCCUUCAGCCUUCCAUAAAACUUCUGCUUCUCCUCAGUAGUCUGGAAUCGCCCAUGCCCAAACUUAGAAGACGUAUCAAUGAACUUCAGUUUGAUCUCCUCAAGGGCCAGCCGGGAAGUCUGCUUGAGAAGAGACUGACGAAGGGUAACCACCCUCUUCUUGGGUCCAACACAGCAACCCUUUAUCAGAAUGUAGUCAUCCUUCACAACACCAUAGUGAGGGAAACCACCAAUGGGGGUUAUGUCCUUCUCAGUCCUGUCAAAUUCAGUGAGAGCCUUGUGCGACUCCUCUCCUGCCUUUCCAAGCUUGUACACUUUCUUGUUCAUCUCAGUACGGUGGUGAUAACCAUUCUGACCAGCACGGGCAACAGUGUAUGAAACCCUGGCAGGAUGCCAUGCUCCAAUACAAGCAACCUUGCGCAGACCCCUGUGGGUCUUGCGGGGAAGACGGGUAACACCCCAA